RNAcentral lists this ribosomal RNA (259 nucleotides) under uncultured prokaryote. RNAcentral describes it as "partial 16S ribosomal RNA". It matches the Rfam family "Bacterial small subunit ribosomal RNA", at positions 524 to 784 of the family's 1533-position model. The record is from RNAcentral.
UACGUAGGGGACGAGCGUUGUCCGGAAUUACUGGGCGUAAAGGGGCGCAGGCGGUAUAUCAAGUCAGCUGUCAAAGACUGGGGCUCAACCCUGGUAUGCGGUUGAAACUGAUAUGCUGGAGUGCUGUAGAGGCAAGUGGAAUUCCCAGUGUAGCGGUGAAAUGCGUAGAUAUUGGGAAGAACACCGGUGGCGAAGGCGACUUGCUGGGCAGCAACUGACGCUGAGGCGCGAAAGCCAGGGGAGCAAACGGGAUUAGAUA